Molecule: small nucleolar RNA, 148 nt
Organism: Lethenteron reissneri (Far Eastern brook lamprey)
Lineage: Eukaryota; Metazoa; Chordata; Hyperoartia; Petromyzontiformes; Petromyzontidae
Product: small nucleolar RNA SNORA79
Source: RefSeq, a predicted model, not a curated record
CGAUGGCCAUUCGUUCCUCUUGCCAUCGAGAGCCACAGUGGUGAGAUUUUGAGUCAUUGCAGAGCAAGUGACUUUAUUCACUCUAGACACGUGUGGGGCAGACGGUCUGUCUUCUCCCGUGUUUGGAAAAUUGCGGAGUUGGACAAAA